Molecule: ribosomal RNA, 465 nt
Filed under: uncultured bacterium
Lineage: Bacteria
Description: partial 16S ribosomal RNA
Rfam family: Bacterial small subunit ribosomal RNA
Source: RNAcentral
GAUGAACGCUGGCGGCGUGCUUAACACAUGCAAGUCGAACGGAAAGGCCUCUGCUUGCAGGGGUACUCGAGUGGCGAACGGGUGAGUAACACGUGGGUGAUCUGCCCUGCACUUCGGGAUAAGCCUGGGAAACUGGGUCUAAUACCGGAUAGGACAAUGGUUUGGAUGCCGUUGUGGAAAGUUUUUCGGUGUGGGAUGAGCUCGCGGCCUAUCAGCUUGUUGGUGGGGUAAUGGCCUACCAAGGCGUCGACGGGUAGCCGGCCUGAGAGGGUGUACGGCCACAUUGGGACUGAGAUACGGCCCAGACUCCUACGGGAGGCAGCAGUGGGGAAUAUUGCACAAUGGGCGCAAGCCUGAUGCAGCGACGCCGCGUGGGGGAUGACGGCCUUCGGGUUGUAAACUCCUUUCGCUAGGGACGAAGCGCAAGUGACGGUACCUGGAGAAGAAGCACCGGCUAACUACGUG